Molecule: non-coding RNA, 234 nt
Organism: Pelobates cultripes (western spadefoot toad)
Lineage: Eukaryota; Metazoa; Chordata; Amphibia; Anura; Pelobatidae
Source: the annotation of a GenBank genome assembly
GCUGUGCUUGUCUGUGAUAACCUUGUUCUGAUUGCACGUCCCAGUGACGCCGACAACGCAUUCGGAUGUCUGCCCUAUCAACUUUCGAUGCUAUUAUCCACGCCUACCAUGAUGACCACGGGUAAUGGGGAAUUAGGGUUCGAUUCCAGAGAAGGAGCCUGAAAAAUGGCUCUCACAUGCAAGGAAGGCAGACGACGCGCAAAUUACUCACUCCCGACGCAGGGAGGGAGUGAC